This 250-nucleotide ribosomal RNA is filed under the name uncultured Chroococcidiopsis sp. RNAcentral describes it as "partial 16S ribosomal RNA". It matches the Rfam family "Bacterial small subunit ribosomal RNA", at positions 796 to 1044 of the family's 1533-position model. The record is from RNAcentral. Lineage: Bacteria; Bacillati; Cyanobacteriota; Cyanophyceae; Chroococcidiopsidales; Chroococcidiopsidaceae.
CUAGCCGUAAACGAUGGAUACUAGGCGUUGUGAGUAUCGACCCUCACAGUGUCAUAGCUAACGCGUUAAGUAUCCCGCCUGGGGAGUACGCGCGCAAGCGUGAAACUCAAAGGAAUUGACGGGGGCCCGCACAAGCGGUGGAGUAUGUGGUUUAAUUCGAUGCAACGCGAAGAACCUUACCAGGACUUGACAUGUCGCGAAUCUCAGGGAAACUUGAGAGUGCCUUCGGGAGCGCGAACACAGGUGGUGC